CCUACGGGCGGCUGCAGUAGGGAAUAUUGGACAAUGGGGGCAACCCUGAUCCAGCCAUGCCGCGUGUGUGAAGAAGGCCCUCGGGUUGUAAAGCACUUUCAGUGAGGAAGAACGCCUGGUGGUUAAUACCCAUCAGGAAAGACAUCACUCACAGAAGAAGCACCGGCUAACUCCGUGCCAGCAGCCGCGGUAAUACGGAGGGUGCGAGCGUUAAUCGGAAUUACUGGGCGUAAAGCGCGCGUAGGUGGCUUGAUAAGCCGGUUGUGAAAGCCCCGGGCUCAACCUGGGAACGGCAUCCGGAACUGUCAAGCUAGAGUGCAGGAGAGGAAGGUAGAAUUCCCGGUGUAGCGGUGAAAUGCGUAGAGAUCGGGAGGAAUACCAGUGGCGAAGGCGGCCUUCUGGACUGACACUGACACUGAGGUGCGAAAGCGUGGGUAGCAAACAGGAUUAGAUACCCCAGUAGUC
Molecule: ribosomal RNA, 465 nt
Filed under: Vreelandella stevensii
Lineage: Bacteria; Pseudomonadati; Pseudomonadota; Gammaproteobacteria; Oceanospirillales; Halomonadaceae
Description: partial 16S ribosomal RNA
Rfam family: Bacterial small subunit ribosomal RNA
Source: RNAcentral